Oncorhynchus keta (chum salmon) is the source of this 576-nucleotide long non-coding RNA. RefSeq lists it as uncharacterized. The record is from RefSeq and is a predicted model, not a curated record. The transcript has 3 exons. NCBI's taxonomy places the organism in Eukaryota, Metazoa, Chordata, Actinopteri, Salmoniformes, Salmonidae.
GUUCCACCAUGUCUUCCUCAAUAGGUUCCACCAUGUCUUCCUCAAUAGGUUCCACCAUGUCUUCCUCAAUAGGUUCCACCAUGUCUUCCUCAAUAGGUUCCACCAUGUCUUCCUCACUAGGUUCCACCAUGUCUUCCUCAAUAGGUUCCACCAUGUCUUCCUCAAUAGGUUCCACCAUGUCUUCCUCACUAGGUUCCACCAUGUCUUCCUCAAUAGGUUCCACCAUGUCUUCCUCACUAGGUUCCACCAUGUCUUCCUCAAUAGGUUCCACCAUGUCUUCCUCACUAGGUUCCCCCAUGUCUUCCUCACCAGGUUCCACCAUGUCUUCCUCAAUAGGUUCCACCAUGUCUUCCUCAAUAGGUUCCACCAUGUCUUCCUCAGUAGGUUCCCCCAUGUCUUCCUCACUAGGUUCCACCAUGUCUUCCUCACUAGGUUCCACCAUGUCUUCCUCAAUAGGUUCCACCAUGUCUUCCUCAAUAGGUUCCACCAUGUCUUCCUCAAUAGGUUCCACCAUGUCUUCCUCAAUAGGUUCCACCAUGUCUUCCUCACUAGGUUCCACCAUGUCUUCCUCAAUAG